GGGUAAGAGAUGGGCAUGCGUUCUAUUAGUUAGUUGGAGUGGUAACGGCACACCAAGGCGACGAUCCGUAGCUGGUCUGAGAGGAUGAUCACGCCACACUGGGACUGAGACACCGGCCCAGACUCCUACGGGAGGCAGCAGUGGGAAUAUUGGACAAUGGGGAAACCCUGAUCCAGCCAUGCCGCGUGUGUGAAGAAGGCCUUCGGGUUGUAAAGCUCUGUGGAGAGGGACGAAAACCCUGGUUUCCAAAUAGGCUCCAGGCUUGACGGUACCUCUUUAGCAAGCACCGGCUAACUCUGUG
Molecule: ribosomal RNA, 301 nt
Filed under: uncultured bacterium
Lineage: Bacteria
Description: bacterial SSU rRNA
Rfam family: Bacterial small subunit ribosomal RNA
Source: RNAcentral